Molecule: long non-coding RNA, 548 nt
Organism: Leopardus geoffroyi (Geoffroy's cat)
Lineage: Eukaryota; Metazoa; Chordata; Mammalia; Carnivora; Felidae
Exons: 2
Source: RefSeq, a predicted model, not a curated record
UGGUUAGGAGAUAGUUCUAAUUGGUAAGGUUCCGGCUAGUCAAGGGUUUACUGGCUAUAUUUUCCAGUGUAGGACUGAAGCUGUUCUAGAUAAAUUACUGCUGCUACCACGAAAUAGGCAUUUUUCCGAUCAGAAUGAAGCAUGCCUAAAUCAGGAUAAGAUUUUUACUGUGGAUGCUUCUGUGUCUUCAGAUGCGCCUUUUGAUCCCAGAGGGAUUAAAUCACAAAGUAUCAACAAGUUAAAGAAAUACUGGAAAGAAGUGAUGACAUCUGUUACACCAUGCGGCCAUUACCAGGAGGUCCCUGAGGAAGGUCUAAAAACUCAGGUCUCCUAUGCCGUAACAGGAUGUUACCCAGAGCUUUCCAAUACAAAUAAGAGAAAGUCAAGUUCUUAGAUGAGGACCAGGCAGGGAUGGAAAUCAGGAAGAAGCCGGGAAGGAGCGGAUGACCCAAGGGAAGACAGAGUUCCAGAGCUGAACUGUGUGUCCAGAUGCUCGUAGGAAAACAAUCCGCUAAGAGUCUAGAAGACAACAGCAUUCCCCAGAGCCA